This 497-nucleotide ribosomal RNA is filed under the name uncultured bacterium. RNAcentral's name for it is "partial 16S ribosomal RNA". It matches the Rfam family "Bacterial small subunit ribosomal RNA", at positions 28 to 507 of the family's 1533-position model. The record is from RNAcentral.
GAUGAACGCUGGCGGCGUGCCUAAUACAUGCAAGUCGAGCGAACAGAUAAGGAGCUUGCUCCUUUGACGUUAGCAGCGGACGGGUGAGUAACACGUGGGUAACCUACCUAUAAGACUGGAAUAACUCCGGGAAACCGGGGCUAAUGCCGGAUAACAUUUAGAACCGCAUGGUUCUAAAGUGAAAGAUGGUUUUGCUAUCACUUAUAGAUGGACCCGCGCCGUAUUAGCUAGUUGGUAAGGUAACGGCUUACCAAGGCAACGAUACGUAGCCGACCUGAGAGGGUGAUCGGCCACACUGGAACUGAGACACGGUCCAGACUCCUACGGGAGGCAGCAGUAGGGAAUCUUCCGCAAUGGGCGAAAGCCUGACGGAGCAACGCCGCGUGAGUGAUGAAGGUCUUCGGAUCGUAAAACUCUGUUAUUAGGGAAGAAUAAAUGUGUAAGUAACUGUGCACGUCUUGACGGUACCUAAUCAGAAGGCCACGGCUAACUACGUG